This 217-nucleotide non-coding RNA is filed under the name Ruminiclostridium sufflavum DSM 19573. The record is from RNAcentral. Lineage: Bacteria; Bacillati; Bacillota; Clostridia; Eubacteriales; Oscillospiraceae.
UCUAACUGUAACUUCGAUAGGUGGAAUGAUGGAGUAACGCCCCGAAACGCCUACCCUGAUACUCCGAUUGGCGUUGCAAGAUAGUAAUUGCAGGGUCAAAAGCUCGGUGAAGUCGACUGAAUGCACUCGCUAUAUCGACAACGGUAAAAUGUAAAUGUAUCGUUAUGGCAAAAGCAAGCCAGAGGUGGCUGUGGGUGUUAGGUCGGGGGUCUACAAA